Molecule: ribosomal RNA, 253 nt
Filed under: uncultured bacterium
Lineage: Bacteria
Description: partial 16S ribosomal RNA
Rfam family: Bacterial small subunit ribosomal RNA
Source: RNAcentral
UACGUAGGGCGCAAGCGUUGUCCGGAAUUAUUGGGCGUAAAGAGCUCGUAGGCGGUUUGUCGCGUCUGUCGUGAAAGCCCACGGCUUAACCGUGGGUCUGCGGUGGAUACGGGCAGACUAGAGGCAGGUAGGGGAGAAUGGAAUUCCCGGUGUAGCGGUGAAAUGCGCAGAUAUCGGGAGGAACACCGGUGGCGAAGGCGGUUCUCUGGGCCUGUACUGACGCUGAGGAGCGAAAGCAUGGGGAGCGAACAGG